Molecule: ribosomal RNA, 548 nt
Filed under: Conus ebraeus
Lineage: Eukaryota; Metazoa; Mollusca; Gastropoda; Neogastropoda; Conidae
Description: partial 16S ribosomal RNA
Rfam family: Bacterial large subunit ribosomal RNA
Source: RNAcentral
GUUUACCAAAAACAUGGCUUCGUGUAAUCAUCAAAAUGCGAAGUCGGACCUGCCCAGUGAAGUUUAAACGGCCGCGGUACUCUGACCGUGCAAAGGUAGCAUAAUCAUUUGCCUUAUAAUUGAAGGCUGGAAUGAAUGGUUUGACAAGAAUACACCUGUCUCUUUUAGAUUAUUUAGAAUUUUAUCUUUGGGCGAAAAAGCCCAGAUAUUAUUAAAAGACAAGAAGACCCUAUCGAGCUUCAGAAAAAUUAAUGGAGUAGUUAUGUUUAAUAUUAACUAAAAAAAAAAGCUAUUAAAUACUUUGGUUGGGGCAACCGAGGAGUAGACAAAGCCUCCCUUGAAUAAGAAGUCUUACUUGAGAGGAUCCAAGAAUUUUGAUCAAAGGAAUUAGUUACCGUAGGGAUAACAGCAUUAUCUUUUUUGAGAGCCCAUAUCGAAAAAAAGGUUUGUGACCUCGAUGUUGGACCAGAAUAUCCUAAAGAUGCAGAAGUCUUUGAGGGUUGGUCUGUUCGACCAUUAAAAUUCUACGUGAUCUGAGUUCAGACCGG